This 492-nucleotide ribosomal RNA is filed under the name uncultured bacterium. Its description in RNAcentral is "partial 16S ribosomal RNA". It matches the Rfam family "Bacterial small subunit ribosomal RNA", at positions 29 to 507 of the family's 1533-position model. The record is from RNAcentral.
AGUGAACGCUGGCGGUAGGCCUAACACAUGCAAGUCGAACGGCAGCACAGUAAGAGCUUGCUCUUACGGGUGGCGAGUGGCGGACGGGUGAGGAAUACAUCGGAAUCUACUUUUUCUUGGGGGAUAACGUAGGGAAACUUACGCUAAUCCCGCAUACGACCUACGGGUGAAAGCAGGGGAUCUUCGGACCUUGCGCGAUUGAAUGAGCCGAUGUCGGAUUAGCUAGUUGGCGGGGUAAAGGCCCACCAAGGCGACGAUCCGUAGCUGGUCUGAGAGGAUGAUCAGCCACACUGGAACUGAGACACGGUCCAGACUCCUACGGGAGGCAGCAGUGGGGAAUAUUGGACAAUGGGCGAAAGCCUGAUCCAGCCAUACCGCGUGGGUGAAGAAGGCCUUCGGGUUGUAAAGCACUUUUGUUGGGAAAGAAGAGCAGCAGGUUAAUACCCCGCUGUUCUGACGGUACCCAAAGAAUAAGCACCGGCUAACUUCGUG